ACCCUUCCCUGUUCCUUCUGCCCUUCCUCUUGGGGAGUUUAUCUGUCUCUGAUGAGAAACUCCCCAAGAGGAAGGGCAGAAGGAACAGGGAAGGGU
RNAcentral lists this microRNA precursor (96 nucleotides) under Podarcis lilfordi (Lilford's wall lizard). Lineage: Eukaryota; Metazoa; Chordata; Lepidosauria; Squamata; Lacertidae. The record is from RNAcentral.